Molecule: ribosomal RNA, 468 nt
Filed under: uncultured bacterium
Lineage: Bacteria
Description: partial 16S ribosomal RNA
Rfam family: Bacterial small subunit ribosomal RNA
Source: RNAcentral
GAUGAACGCUGGCGGCGUGCCUAACACAUGCAGGUCGAGCGAUUCUCUUCGGAGAAGAGCGGCGGACGGGUGAGUAACGCGUGGGUAACCUGCCCUGUACACACGGAUAACAUACCGAAAGGUAUGCUAAUACGAGAUAAUAUGCUUUUAUCGCAUGGUAGAAGUAUCAAAGUUUUUGCGGUACAGGAUGGACCCGCGUCUGAUUAGCUAGUUGGUAAGGUAACGGCUUACCAAGGCGACGAUCAGUAGCCGACCUGAGAGGGUGAUCGGCCACAUUGGAACUGAGACACGGUCCAAACUCCUACGGGAGGCAGCAGUGGGAAAUAUUGCACAAUGGGCGAAAGCCUGAUGCAGCAACGCCGCGUGAGCGAUGAAGGCCUUCGGGUCGUAAAGCUCUGUCCUCAAGGAAGAUAAUGACGGUACUUGAGGAGGAAGCCCCGGCUAACUACGUGCCAGCAGCCGCAGUAA